RNAcentral lists this long non-coding RNA (5358 nucleotides) under Sus scrofa (pig). RNAcentral's name for it is "lncRNA (ENSSSCG00065073879.1)". The record is from RNAcentral. Lineage: Eukaryota; Metazoa; Chordata; Mammalia; Artiodactyla; Suidae.
AGAAUACAAAGGAUGUUUAAAUAUGAGGUGUUAAAACAACAAUAGCACUAAGUGAUCUCUAUGUUAUUCCUGGGGAAUCACACAUGACCACAGUAAAAGAACCGAAGUAAGACAUAUGGAAUCAGGAAGAGCGAUCGAGUGUAUCACAAUUUGGCAGGGUAAAGUGAGCACAGAGCCAAACCACAUGUAAAAUGUCAAAUCAGGAUGUCCUGUAAAGAAUGAGGUUCAUAUGGAUUAAAGGCUAUUUUGGAGAUUUAGUUUUAUGGGCUCUUCUGCCGGAGGAUCCCUCAGAGAGUGGCUUCUGUGUUAGGUACAUACCCUCUUGUUAAAACGACCAAGCCAUCCUCAGCCACUUUAUGACUCCCAAAUAUUUGGCAGAGGAUUGCAAAACCCUAGCCAAGACUGUAACCAGAUUCUAUGAACAGUAUUCGGUACUUAGCAGCCAAGAUAAAAAGUAUUCCAUUCCUUAAUCAGACAUUCAUUUUUAAUUUCUUCUCACUAAAACAUUCUUACCAUGUCAAAUUGAGGCUAACAAAGUAAAUCUAACCUUGCUCAUAGAGGUUGUAAAUACAUGCACUGUUACUCUGUAUGUGAGCUUCUGCAGUACCAUGUUGAUGUGCUGACAGUUUCAUAGAUUUUUAAAGCCAAAAGAGAUAUAAAAACUCCCUUCUUUCACAGAGGAGACUUCUAAGGCCAAUGGAAUUUAAAUAAUUUGACAGCUAUUACAUAGUAAAUGAGUAGAUUUGGUAUUAAAUCCAAACUCUCCUUAUUGCUUCUCCAGUGAAAAUGUUUCAUUUUCAGUUAUAGAGUAAUCUUUUGCAUGUUAUUAUUGUUCACAUUAUUUAUAUCAGGAGUUAAAACUCAGCUUUAGAGGGGCAAGGUCAUGUGAAGGAGUAAGGAGGAACAAUGAAAAUAUGUAGGUGUGGAUUGUGUGAAUGGCAGUGCAACCUGGAUAGCCAGUGCUCUAUCUAAAGAAGCGACUUUUCUCAUCCCCAGCUGGCUGCGGCCAUUGGUAGUGCAUACCCAAAGUGACCACAUUUCUUGGAAAAAUUUAAGUAUCUCUUUUUUAAAGUUAUAUUUAAAAUAAAAACUUAACAAGAUGAAGUCCAGAUAAAACCCAUCCAGGAGGUGAAUUUGGUCUGUGGGCCAUCGAUUUAUAAUUGUAACUUAAACAUCAUCUACUAAACAAUCAUAGGGAAUAAUAUCAAUAUUCUCAACUGAAUUAGAAAAAGAAAUAUUCAGUAUCACUGCCUUCAGUGAGAGAACCUAUCAAUAUAAAAUUUAAAAAUUAAAGCUUCUAAAUCAAUUAGUAUAAAAAUUGAUUUGUCACUAUUUAAUCAAAGCACAUCUCUUUAAGGUCUACAAACACUGCUCUCUAUGUGAAAUGUUCUCUUUAAACAGUGGUAGAGAUAAUCCCAUCAGAAACAGUCUAAGAAAAUGUAAUUUGGAAUAGGUGAUCAAUACAUUCAAAUUAACUUUUUAUAAUCAAUCUAUGCAUACUUAAACUUAUGCAUGAAACAUAGACAUAUCUCCCUAGCUCUUAGUAUAAUUGAAUACCUUGUCAAUUUCUUCACUAAUAAUUCAGUGGUGAUUGACUGAUAGUUUCUCUUAGAAUUAGUUAUUGAUUAUCAAGAUACAGUGAUGCCACUGACAACUAAUUGUACUUUAACUUGUAGAUGUGGUUAUUCUAGUGUAUAAAAUUUAACAGUUGAAAUGGCAAAAUAAACUCAAUUCUUACUCUUUAUCUGUUUGACUAAUCUUCCGAUGAAUAUUCCAAUGAAAUUAUACUUUGAAAAUGAAGUAAUUAAAAUCAGGUUCAAAAAUACUUGUCAGAUUUUCUGAAACUUACAGUAUUUUUAAAAAUACAUUUUAGGGCACAUUAUGUACAUUUUUUACUCAUUCUUGGUACAUAUUAGAGGAAAAUAACUGCUCAAAUUCCUUUGUCAGAAGCAUGCAAAUUUAUAACAUUCACCUAUUUUAAUUCAUCAGAAUUUUCAUAUGUGUUAAAGAUGGAAUUUCCAUAAAAUUAAUAUUUCAAGGGAAAUAAAUCAUAAGUGAAUGACAAAAUGAAUACCGACCUAUAAAUUUUCAAAUGUAAUCUGAUUUUUAUAAAAAAAAUUCAGUAGUACAGAAAAGUGUUUAAAAAAAAAUGAAAGCAUCUCUCUUCUUCAUUCUUAUACCACCAGAGGAGCUCUGUAAAUUGCCUAAGAGGGUGCAGCUGGUUCCUAUUAGACACCAAAACUUUCUAAAGAUACUUUUCUUUAUUUGAUUCACAACUGUCUCUAUAUCUAAGAAGGGUGUGAAACAAUUUCAGGCCUCCAUUUCUCUAGCUGCCUAUGCCUCAUACAGUGACAAGGAAACUAGAACUUUUUCUGGCUUCCAUCCAGUCCAUGCUGCCUUUACUUUUAUUUCUUUUUUGUUUGUUCUGUUGUUCAUUAAUUCAUUCAUUCGUGGCACACCAAAGCACUUUCUUCCUUAGUAUUAGGAGACACUUGAGUGCUUAUUUGGCUCUGUACCCAGCUUCUAGCUAUAUAAGACAGCAAAUCAGACUCUUGCUUUUCCUCAGACCCAAAGAGCAGGCAGGUUUCUAAUUUAAAAGGCUGCACUGAUCCCUUCAAGGCUAUGUAUCAGGACUUGGUAAAGAUCACCACACACCUUUUUUUUUUUUCCUAUACUCUUUUGAAAUCUUUGUAAGAAGUAUUUUUACAGAUAUAGAUGCAAAAUUCACAAAUUGUAAGUAUGCAGAUACAAAAAUGUUUACAAAGUAGACGCACUUGAUAACCAGCAUAAGAUUUGAGAAUAUUGUCAGCUUCAUAAAAUAACCUCUUGGUCUCCGCUGAAAUAGCUACUACCUUUUCUAAAGUAACUGCUAUCAUGAUUUCUAACUCUGUAGAUAAGUUUUGCUUGUUUAGAACUUAAUUUACAUAAAAUAAGACAGUAGUGUACUCAUUUAUGACUUUACUCGAUUAUAUUUCUAUUGCAUGAAAUUAUAUCCAUUCACUCUAUAGAAUUUAAUUUUAUGAAAAUAUCUCAAAUUAUUUAUUCAUUCUAGUGUUGAUGGACAUUUAGGUAGAUCCAGUUUUUGUCUUUUAUCAAUAAUGUGGCUAGAAAUAUUCUUUACAUGUGUUUUGGAGAGCAUAUAAAUGCAGUUCUAAUAAUGAAAUUUGUGGGUCACAGAUUUGGCAUGUUAAGUUUCCUAAAGUGGUUGUACCAAUUCAUAAUCCUAUCAGCAGUGUAUGAGAGUUCUACUUCGUCUCUCUGUUUUUAAUAUUUUGUGUCAUCUUUAAGAUGUGUUCCAUUCAGGCAGUACUAGACAGCAGAGAGGUGUUUUGUUUGAUUAUUUUCUUGCUUGUUUGUUUUUUCCAUUCAACCCCAUAUAACUAUCAAAAAACUCUAUUGGGUUUCAUGUCCCUUAAUGCAGUCUUCUUCCUGGACUAUCCCAGAAUUCCAGCUUCUAGGCAAGGAUUAAUAAAUGUGUUCAGGGACAGCAGAAGAGAUUCAGAUGAACUUUGAAAGACUCCUGAAUUUUACUUUCUGUAGAUACAGCUGCUUUUGCAAAUCUCCCUGUAUGUUCAUACAUGUGAAUUUUUUUUUUUUAGGGCCACACCUGUGGCACAUGGAAAUUCUCAGACUAGCUGCUGAAUUGGAGCUACAGCUGCUGGCCUGCACCAAGCCACAGCAAUGCAGGAUCUGAGCCACAUCCAUAUCCUACACCAUAGCAGUGUGGGAUCCUUAACGCACUGGGAGAGGCCAGGGAUUGAACCCUCAUCCUUAUGGAUCCUAGUCAGAUUCGUUAACCACUACGCCACGAUGGGAACUCCGGCAAAGUCUUAUAGACAAUGGUAUGAUUGUCCAUCACUAGAUUUUAGAGAAAGUGAGCAAUAAUUGAAUCAUAAAUGGUCUAUUUCUAUAAGUUCAGUCAUAGUUGUUACCUCUUUAGAAAAAUGUUAUCUUUGUUAUUGACAUAACUAAUAGGAAAAUUUUAGUAUAUCUCUAAAGUAUAUAGAUGUAUUUUUUUGAGCUUUACUUCUGUUUUCCAACUCCACUAUGCAUCCUCUGUAACACAUUUCAUAUUUGUCUUUGAACAUAUGCACAUCUGUGAAAACACAGUAUAAUGAGGCUGCUGGUGGUGGUAGGGUAUGUUUAAUUUGAAUGAAAAUUGCACUGUGAAAUUUAUGCUGUAUAAUUUUUAAAUUUUAUUUUAAAAAAUUAGUCAUGCUGUAAGUCUUCUACAUAAAUCCAUAGAUUCUAACUGCUAAAUAAUAUGCUAAAAUGUACCUGCACAAUGUUUUUUACAUUCUUCCUAAUAGUAAUGGGUCUCCAGUUAUAUCCAACUUAUUCCCAUAAACAAUUUUAUAAUGAAUAUCCUUGUACAUACAGUUAGCAUCUGUGUGUAAAUUUCUGUAAUAUGUAUCUGGAAAAAAAUGUGCCAUGGGGUAAGCACAAGUUUAAUUUCACUAAGUACUGUCAGUGCGAUCUUCUUAUAUCUUCCUGUAGUUUCAUUCACUUGUGACUACAUAUCCUUUAAUGCUAUUGAUUCUAUUAGAAUAAAUGUGCCAGUAGUAUCUUUCUGUCCUAAUAUUUGUUGUCUAAAUUUCUUGUCUGCUAUUUUAUCUGAACAGUCUUUUCUUUCCCCACACAAUUUACUUGCAGUUUCUCAAAAAUAAAUUAAGUGAUUUUAGGAUAACCAACUGUCUGAUUUAAUAAUCUACCUAUAGGUAUCCUUAAUCAAGAAAAGUAUCUUAAUAUACAGCAGACACUUUCUUUCAGAAAGUUAUAGUAUAAUGAAAUAAAAAUAUAUUGUCUCCAAAUAAUAUCUCUGCUUUUACCUCAUUUAUACCAUUAGAUAUUAUUUCUAAAUGAACUCUUAAAAAUUGAUUUUGUGUAAAUUUGUAAAUACACUAAGAAAUAAGUACAAUGGCAUUUGUUUUGUUAUUCUAAUGGAAAGGCCAUUUGUGCUUUCUUUUUGAGGCAAAAUUGCAAAUUAACUAAAAUAUUUUAGGAUCUAAGAGUUUAAGUUGUGUUUUCCUUUUACACCUUAGUUAUAUCCAGAAAAGUCAAUAGCUUUCUAAAAAUGCCUCAACAUUUGAGAGUUAAUUGUUUGUGUUAUUUUACCUCAUUACAUCCUUCCCCUUGGUACAUUUUGCUAAUGUGACUCAUUUAAUCUGGGAAUUUGUUUUUUUGCUUUAUUUCUGAAAUGUUUAGAGGCAGCAUACAUAUAAAAUAAGAGUAUUGUGUUUUUCAAUUUUUAAUUUUUAUGAAAACUAAGCACUAUACUAACUUCCUAGAAAUAAUUAAAAUAAAUCAUAUUUUAAAUGGGAUGAUUCUCAAAUGUCUUUAUUUUGAAAAAAAAAAAAA